This is a long non-coding RNA of Macrobrachium nipponense, 704 nucleotides long. RefSeq lists it as uncharacterized. The record is from RefSeq and is a predicted model, not a curated record. The transcript has 3 exons. Lineage: Eukaryota; Metazoa; Arthropoda; Malacostraca; Decapoda; Palaemonidae.
GACGCCAUUUACUGCCUUAGUAGCGUAACUUUAUUCCAAGUUCAAACGUAUUUUUCUCUUCUAUAAUUGCCAUCUUUAUAAUCGAGACAAUUCUUAAUCAAUCGUAAUAAUUGGCAAAUUACAAGGAUAACCGAUAAUUGCUGUAAUACUAUUAUUCCAAACAGGAAAAUUACUUCAGUUCCUAACUAGGAUUGAGUAUUGUACAUAGAACAUCCUGUGAAAAUGGAAGCUGCAAAAUCGUCCUCAUUGUUGUUGCUCAAAGAAGAGAAGGAGAAUUUGGAGGAGGGUCCAACUGAAAACACAGGGGAAGGCUCUUCGUUUGCAGACCCCUUCUUAGAAGUCAAGGCAGAACCAGAAUUUUUUGACGUUCAUUGCCAUCAUCAUUGCCAUUAAUCAAAGAAGAGAAGUAGAAUUAGGAGGAGGGUCUCACUGAAAAUGCAGGCAAAUGUUCUUCAUUCGCAGUCUUUCUUAGCAAUUAAGGCAGAGCCAAAGUAUUUUGGCCAGAGUAAAUUUGAUGCGAAAUGGUUUUAUAACCUUUAUGUAUGCAAAGGUAAAAUAAAUUACUUUUAGUUUUUUCUUACAAUUGUUCUCUUGUUCUCACCGAUCAAUGUACAGUACUUGGUUAAGAAGUUUUCCUGUGAUGUCUCCACUUUUCUGGUUCCUGUGUACUUUUUGUGUGGUUUCCAAAUAAAGAAUUAGUAUUG